Molecule: ribosomal RNA, 458 nt
Filed under: uncultured bacterium
Lineage: Bacteria
Description: partial 16S ribosomal RNA
Rfam family: Bacterial small subunit ribosomal RNA
Source: RNAcentral
CCUACGGGAUGCAGCAGUGGGGAAUAUUGCACAAUGGGGGAAACCCUGAUGCAGCGACUCCGCGUGAGUGAAGAAGUAUUUCGGUAUGUAAAGCUCUAUCAGCAGGGAAGAAAUAGCGACCUUUGGGUCGCCAGACGUUACCUGAUUAAGAAGCCCCGGCUAACUACGUUCCAGCAGCCGCGGUAAUACGUAGGGGGCAAGCGUUAUCCGGAUUUACUGGGUGUAAAGGGAGCGUAGACGGCAACGCAAGUCUGAAGUGAAAUGCCGGGGCUUAACCCCGGAACUGCUUUGGAAACUGUGCAGGUAGAGUGCAGGAGAGGUAAGUGGAAUGACUAGUGUAGCGGUGAAAUGCGUAGAUAGUAGGAGGAACACCAGUGGCGAAGGCGGCUUACGGGAAUGUAACUGACGUUGAGGCUCGAAAGCGUGGGGAGCAAACAGGAGUAGAUACCCGUGUAGUC